Molecule: long non-coding RNA, 364 nt
Organism: Linepithema humile (Argentine ant)
Lineage: Eukaryota; Metazoa; Arthropoda; Insecta; Hymenoptera; Formicidae
Source: RefSeq, a predicted model, not a curated record
GGGAUCAACUAUCCAUGACAGAGAGAGACGGUGAGGAAUGCUGGGAUACCCCUAAAACAUCCCAUACCUUGCACGUGUGGUAUUUACGAUAAAGGCAUGUGUAUAAAGUUACCGAAAUCAAAUCUUUCGAAAUCUUUCGCAGCUAUCGGGUUUCGAAUUAUCUCGGCGUCUCGAGAAUCUUGAGUGUCGAACGUAUUCUAUCUCCGUGCGAUGAUAUCCGAGUAAUAUUUUUGUCCUGAUAUGACAAAGUACGCUCCGGGAGUGCCGUAGGAAAUGUCGCGCGAAUAAUAAUUAUUCGGAUUUUCGCGAGUGUUGUAAUCAUGUUCCUGUACUGAGAGGAGGACGUGGAGGCUCAGGAUGGGCA